UGCUUGGUGGUCCAGUGUUAGAACUCUGUACUCUCACUGCUGAGGUCCUGGGUUCAAUUCCUGGUCAGGGAA
RNAcentral lists this transfer RNA (72 nucleotides) under Bos taurus (domestic cattle). It matches the Rfam family "tRNA". From Rfam's summary of the family: Transfer RNA (tRNA) molecules are approximately 80 nucleotides in length. Their secondary structure includes four short double-helical elements and three loops (D, anti-codon, and T loops). RNAcentral also lists the same sequence under 2 other names. Lineage: Eukaryota; Metazoa; Chordata; Mammalia; Artiodactyla; Bovidae. The record is from Rfam by way of RNAcentral.